CUUCCCAGCACUUCCUUUCCCAGCUCUUCUCUGGCCCCAUCCUGUAUCAUUGCCAACUCAUAGACACCCUCCCUGGCUUUGAUUGGAGCACCCUGGUGAGGCCCAGGCUUGGCUGAGCAGCCUGCUGGCUCCCCCACCAGCUGCACCUGUCUGUAGGAGCACGCUGGUAGCAUACGGAGCAGCUGCUUGCUCUCCUGCUGCCUGCAGAUUCCCCGGCUGUGUCUUGUUACUUCCCUGCAACUCCUCAGUGCCCAGGCAGAUGUCUGGCUCGUGAUCGGUUCCCGAGCUUUGCUGCUGGAAGCCUCCUCAAUGGCUAGGGUCCUAGGAGCCUCAGCUUCUAUAACUGGCUCCAAGUAAUCAGGCCAGAAAAUGGAUCCAGCCAUUGGUUUUCCAGAGAGAGGACUGAGAGGAUGCCCACCGGGUUCUGAUGCACAGUAGGAAAUGAGAUGAAUGCACGGUACUCUCCUGUACUAAUCUGAUGGGGGACUGGUUUGAGUGAUAAGUGGAUUUUGCAGCAGGGACACAACAUGCUUUAGUGCACCUUCUCGUUCUUCCCUAGACCCAGGAGAAAGAGAAAAAUGGGAAUGAAAGGCAAAGAGGGACGUAAAGAGAGAUUAUUUCUCUCUACCAGAGUUCCACAACUGCUGGCCAGGGAGGAGGGUCAGGUCAGAGAAGGCACUGCCCUGCCAUCCACCCCGGCUGUGUGUACCUGUUGCCUCAGGCUGUCCUACAGAGAGGCAAUGGCCCUCUCUUUCUCCUGAGUAAAAGGCUCAGCUGGUGCGGGCUGACUGUUUUCGGGCAUUGUCAGGAAAGCAGGAGUCUGGCAGCUUAAACCUGGUUGGUAUGACCAGACACAUUGAGGGAUGGAGCCUUUUCAAAGCCUGUUGCUCAAAGCCAGCCACCUACUCACACACAUUUCAAACAUAGCCCCGGGCCCUAAUUCAAACUGCAGCAUUUCACUCAGUUCUCAGCAUCAGAUAAGGCCAACAGGCUUCCACUCCUUCAGAAGACACCCAGGGGUCCAAGGUAAAUCUCGUUCCAAAGUGAUUUUUGCCUGGAAGGGCCUAAGCCCCACCCAGGAUGGGGACGACCCUCACUCUGGGUUAGGACAUGGGCUCUUUGCACCUCACCUGACUGCUAACCCCUCAGGUUCUUCCUCAGGGCUGGCAAUGGCCCUGGGAUGGACCUGGAUUCGGCUCUGACUCUUACUACUUGCAUGAUCACGGGCAGUUACAUUACCAGAGGCAGAUUCAGCACCACCCAGCCCACCAGAGCAAAACCCAUAGGCCUUCCAAAGUGCUGUAAUCCUAGCACUUUGGAAGGCCAAAAUGGGAGGAUCACUUGAGGCCAGGAGUUUGAGACUAGCCUGGAAAAUAUAGAAAGAUCCCAUCUCUGAAAAAAAAAAAAAACAAACAAACAAAAGAAAAAAGUUAUCUGGGCUUGUAGUAAAAAGUAGAAAAAAGUUAGCUUUGCCUGUAGUCUCAGCUACUUGGGAGGCUGAGGUGGGAGGACUGCUUGAGCCCGGGAGGCAAAAGUUGUGGUGAGCUGAGACCGCAUCACUGCAUGCCAGCCCAAAUGACAGAGCAAGACUCUUUCUCAAAACAAAACAAAACCUAUAGGCCUUGUCCAUCAUUGGCAAUUAGUUAGGAAAUGUAAGUGCAUCCACUAUGCAAGAAACUGAUCACAUUGGUCACCUCCUGGAUGGGGAUCUAGAUGGAUAGCCAAUAGAGGCAGAAAGAAAAAUUUUCCAUUCUUUGCCCUUUUGAAUUUGAACUAUAUGAAUAUAUUCUCUAUCCACUAAAAACGUUUAAAGUUUUUAAGAAGUCAAAUAACAUCAAUAGGAUUCAGUGAUUGACAGGGGCAGGCAGGGAGGGGACGGACAGACAGAUGUGAAGGAUGAGUCUGUGUUGCUAGGCUGGGUGACUGGAUUCACCAAAAUACAGACUACAGGAAGAAGAGGGUUUGGGGGAAGGAAAAUACAUUCAACCUUGGGUUGUUGAGGUAGAAAUGCCAGAAAUAGUUAAAUGGAGAUUUCAGCAAGAAAUUGAAGAUGUGUCAAGUUCUCAAGAGAUGCUGUGGUAUUGAAAAUGUAGAUUUGGGGUCAUCAUUUCAGAAGGUGCAUUUGAAGGCACAGAAUGGAUGAUAGACUCAUCUUUCAGAUGAGAAGGACAGAAACUGGCCAGGUGCACUGGCUCCCACCUGUAAUCCCAGUACUUUGGGAGGCUGAGGUGGGAGGAUCCCUUGAGGCUGGGAGUUCAAGACAAGUGUGGGCAACAUAGUGAGACUCCUGCUGUCUCUACAAAAAAUAAUGAGAAAAAUGUUUAAGGGGGGCAAAAACCAAACUAAAUCUACUUUAAAGAAGUAAAACGGGGAGAUGAGUUUAUUAGAAUAUGUUAUUGUGAAAUCAAAGGGAUGGCACAGAUAUGGUCAAAUCUGCAGAUUCAAAAAAACAUCAUCAGAAUUCUGAGGGGAAAAAUUCAAGAUUGAAAAAGAGAGAUUGUUCUUUAGCCCUAGUCCCAAGCCAUGAAGAAGCCACACAAGCAGUUUUAAAGCCACCAUUAUCAUUCAGUGACCAGAGACUUCAGUGCCACUCCCCUCUUCAGAAAAUCAGCAACAACUCACUCAGCUAACCCCCAAAAUCCAAGCUUAACAAAAACUCUCUAUGAGAUCAGCAUUUGCUUGGUUCAGAGAGAAAGUGAUCUGAAAACGGAUUCUCUUUGGCUGUGCAAGUAACAAGUUCAGUACAAACGUAUAAAGAGCGAGAGAGAGAAUGAUAUGCUCUCUUACAACAAUUCUGCUUCUCCUUGUCCUUUCAGCUCAGCUUGCCUCUGCUUGUCUUAAUUUACAUACAAGCUCUAGCCACUUGUGACCAAGCUGUUCCCUGGCUUCUUAAACCACCUGAUCCCAGAAAUCCUGAUCUAUAGGAAAAGACACAGGGAGGAUUCUAUUUAGACCAGUUUAGAUCAUAUGCCCAACACUUAACAAAUAAUGCUGGAAAGGAGGAUAGAGAUCAUGGUGGAAAAGACGAUAGAGACCACGCUUGGCCAAACCCGGGUCAGAUACCCUGCUGGCUGUCCUCCACUUGCCAUCCCCCAGAUCAGCUCUCCAGCCUUCUACACCCCACUCAGUGCUGCUGACUUCAAUGACAGUGUUGCUACUGCCCUCCAGCCUGGGCAACAGCGCAAGACCCUGCCUCAAAAAAAAAAAGAAAGAAAGAAAAGAAAUAUACAAUAAAGUAUUGCUAACUAUA
RNAcentral lists this long non-coding RNA (3250 nucleotides) under Homo sapiens (human). RNAcentral describes it as "HSALNT0372345". The record is from RNAcentral. Lineage: Eukaryota; Metazoa; Chordata; Mammalia; Primates; Hominidae.